RNAcentral lists this ribosomal RNA (213 nucleotides) under Chloropicon mariensis. Its description in RNAcentral is "partial Bacterial large subunit ribosomal RNA". It matches the Rfam family "Bacterial large subunit ribosomal RNA", at positions 2662 to 2890 of the family's 2925-position model. Lineage: Eukaryota; Viridiplantae; Chlorophyta; Chloropicophyceae; Chloropicales; Chloropicaceae. The record is from RNAcentral.
UUGCGUGGCUCUGACACUAGUACGAGAGGACCGUGUUGGACUGACCGCUGGUUUACCGGUUGUGCCGCCAGGUGCAUCGCCGGGUAUCUAAGUCGGGAUCGGAUAAGCGCUGAAAGCAUCUAAGUGCGAAGCCGGCCACAAGAUUAGAUUUCUCAGGGUCGUUGUAGACGACAACGUUGAUAGGAUGCAGGUGUAAAGGUGGAGACACCAAAG